UUUAUAUGAGAGUUUGAUCCUGGCUCAGGAUGAACGCCGGCGGUGUGCCUAAUACAUGCAAGUCGAACGCGUUGGCCCAAUUGAUUGAUGGUGCUUGCACCUGAUUGAUUUUGGUCGCCAACGAGUGGCGGACGGGUGAGUAACACGUAGGUAACCUGCCCAGAAGCGGGGGACAACAUUUGGAAACAGAUGCUAAUACCGCAU
Molecule: ribosomal RNA, 204 nt
Filed under: Limosilactobacillus fermentum
Lineage: Bacteria; Bacillati; Bacillota; Bacilli; Lactobacillales; Lactobacillaceae
Description: Lactobacillus fermentum partial 16S ribosomal RNA
Rfam family: Bacterial small subunit ribosomal RNA
Source: RNAcentral